RNAcentral lists this ribosomal RNA (666 nucleotides) under uncultured bacterium. RNAcentral describes it as "bacterial SSU rRNA". It matches the Rfam family "Bacterial small subunit ribosomal RNA", at positions 73 to 734 of the family's 1533-position model. The record is from RNAcentral.
GAGGUGCUUGCACCUUAUCUUAGCGGCGGACGGGUGAGUAAUGCUUAGGAAUCUGCCUAUUAGUGGGGGACAACAUUCCGAAAGGGAUGCUAAUACCGCAUACGUCCUACGGGAGAAAGCAGGGGAUCUUCGGACCUUGCGCUAAUAGAUGAGCCUAAGUCGGAUUAGCUAGUUGGUGGGGUAAAGGCCUACCAAGGCGACGAUCUGUAGCGGGUCUGAGAGGAUGAUCCGCCACACUGGGACUGAGACACGGCCCAGACUCCUACGGGAGGCAGCAGUGGGGAAUAUUGGACAAUGGGGGGAACCCUGAUCCAGCCAUGCCGCGUGUGUGAAGAAGGCCUUAUGGUUGUAAAGCACUUUAAGCGAGGAGGAGGCUACUGAGACUAAUACUCUUGGAUAGUGGACGUUACUCGCAGAAUAAGCACCGGCUAACUCUGUGCCAGCAGCCGCGGUAAUACAGAGGGUGCGAGCGUUAAUCGGAUUUACUGGGCGUAAAGCGUGCGUAGGCGGCUUUUUAAGUCGGAUGUGAAAUCCCCGAGCUUAACUUGGGAAUUGCAUUCGAUACUGGGAAGCUAGAGUAUGGGGGAGGAUGGUAGAAUUCCAGGUGUAGCGGUGAAAUGCGUAGAGAUCUGGAGGAAUACCGAUGGCGAAGGCAGCCAUCUGGCC